AGUCACUGACAUUAGAUACCCGGGUAGUCCAGGGUGUAAACGCUGCAGACUUGGUGUUGGAAGUCCUUUGGGGGCAUUCAGUGCCGGAGAGAAGUUGUUAAGUCUGCUACUUGGGAAGUACGGUCGCAAGGCUGAAACUUAAAGGAAUUGGCGGGGAGCACCACAACGGGUGGAGCCUGCGGUUUAAUUGGACUCAACGCCGGAAAUCUCACCGGAUAGGACAGACAUAUGAUAGUCGGGCUGAAGACUCUACUUGAUGAUCUG
RNAcentral lists this ribosomal RNA (264 nucleotides) under uncultured archaeon. RNAcentral's name for it is "partial 16S ribosomal RNA". It matches the Rfam family "Archaeal small subunit ribosomal RNA", at positions 719 to 982 of the family's 1478-position model. The record is from RNAcentral.